GGGAAUAUUGGACAAUGGGCGAAAGCCUGAUCCAGCCAUGCCGCGUGUGUGAAGAAGGUCUUCGGAUUGUAAAGCACUUUAAGUUGGGAGGAAGGGCAGUAAGCGAAUACCUUGCUGUUUUGACGUUACCGACAGAAUAAGCUCCGGCUAACUCCGUGCCAGCAGCCGCGGUAAUACGGAGGGAGCUAGCGUUGUUCGGAAUUACUGGGCGUAAAGGGCGCGUAGGCGGUUCGCUAAGUCUGAUGUGAAAACUCUCGGCUCAACCGGGAGCCUGCAUCCGAUACUGGCGGGCUAGAGUGCGAGAGGGGAAAGCGGAAUUCCUGGUGUAGCGGUGAAAUGCGUAGAUAUCAGGAGGAACACCGGCGGCGAAGGCGGCUUUCUGGAUCGCAACUGACGCUGAGGCGCGAAAGCUAGGGGAGCAAA
RNAcentral lists this ribosomal RNA (423 nucleotides) under uncultured bacterium. RNAcentral's name for it is "bacterial SSU rRNA". It matches the Rfam family "Bacterial small subunit ribosomal RNA", at positions 357 to 772 of the family's 1533-position model. The record is from RNAcentral.